Molecule: microRNA, 22 nt
Filed under: Polistes canadensis
Lineage: Eukaryota; Metazoa; Arthropoda; Insecta; Hymenoptera; Vespidae
Description: pca-miR-6067-3p
Source: miRBase by way of RNAcentral
ACAAAAAGCGGGAUUCGCUUUU